GCCUCCGUGGUGUAGUGGUAGCACACUCGGCGCGUAUUCGAGAUGUCUAGGUUCAAGUCCCGGUGAGGGCA
RNAcentral lists this transfer RNA (71 nucleotides) under Stegodyphus mimosarum. It matches the Rfam family "tRNA". From Rfam's summary of the family: Transfer RNA (tRNA) molecules are approximately 80 nucleotides in length. Their secondary structure includes four short double-helical elements and three loops (D, anti-codon, and T loops). Further hydrogen bonds mediate the characteristic L-shaped molecular structure. tRNAs have two regions of fundamental functional importance: the anti-codon, which is responsible for specific mRNA codon recognition, and the 3' end, to which the tRNAs corresponding amino acid is attached (by aminoacyl-tRNA synthetases). tRNAs cope with the degeneracy of the genetic code in two manners: having more than one tRNA (with a specific anti-codon) for a particular amino acid; and 'wobble' base-pairing, i.e. permitting non-standard base-pairing at the 3rd anti-codon position. Lineage: Eukaryota; Metazoa; Arthropoda; Arachnida; Araneae; Eresidae. The record is from Rfam by way of RNAcentral.